GACGAACGCUGGCGGCGUGCCUAAUACAUGCAAGUAGAACGCUGAAGGAGGAGCUUGCUUCUCUGGAUGAGUUGCGAACGGGUGAGUAACGCGUAGGUAACCUGCCUGGUAGCGGGGGAUAACUAUUGGAAACGAUAGCUAAUACCGCAUAAGAGUAGAUGUUGCAUGACAUUUGCUUAAAAGGUGCAAUUGCAUCACUACCAGAUGGACCUGCGUUGUAUUAGCUAGUUGGUGGGGUAACGGCUCACCAAGGCGACGAUACAUAGCCGACCUGAGAGGGUGGUCGGCCACACUGGGACUGAGACACGGCCCAGACUCCUACGGGAGGCAGCAGUAGGGAAUCUUCGGCAAUGGACGGAAGUCUGACCGAGCAACGCCGCGUGAGUGAAGAAAGUUUUCGGAUCGUAAAGCUCUGUUGUAAGAGAAGAACGAGUGUGAGAGUGGAAAGUUCACACUGUGACGGUAUCUUACCAGAAAGGGACGGCUAACUACGUG
Molecule: ribosomal RNA, 495 nt
Filed under: uncultured bacterium
Lineage: Bacteria
Description: partial 16S ribosomal RNA
Rfam family: Bacterial small subunit ribosomal RNA
Source: RNAcentral